Dreissena polymorpha is the source of this 355-nucleotide long non-coding RNA. RefSeq lists it as uncharacterized. The transcript is spliced from 2 exons. Lineage: Eukaryota; Metazoa; Mollusca; Bivalvia; Myida; Dreissenidae. The record is from RefSeq and is a predicted model, not a curated record.
GCAAGUGUCAACACCGACGGCUUCUCGCAUUUUUGAUUUAAAAUGAGGACAAAACAAGAUGACUGACGUCAUGAAGCUUCUGCGGAAGGAACACGCCGCUGAGAACAACGUCACAUGCGGCCAGAUUGCUUAUCAGCACGUUUGUGACUGACCUCAAGUGGCGGUACUUCGCCACGCAUAUUAUCACCAACACGUUGCUCACUAUGGCGAACGUUAACACCACGCUGACACCAGUGAAAUAAAAUAUCAAAAGAAUUUCCAUGUAAACGAAUUCCAAAAAUUCUUGAACAAACGACAAUUCUUACAGAUUUAUAAAAAGUGCUUUUUAUUGAAAAAAAUAAAAAAUAUUCCAGGA